Molecule: ribosomal RNA, 253 nt
Filed under: uncultured bacterium
Lineage: Bacteria
Description: partial 16S ribosomal RNA
Rfam family: Bacterial small subunit ribosomal RNA
Source: RNAcentral
UACGUAGGGGCCUAGCGUUGUCCGGAUUUAUUGGGCGUAAAGAGCUCGUAGGCGGUUCGGCAAGUCGGAUGUGAAAUCCUGGAGCUCAACUCCAGAACUGCCUUUGAUACUGAGGAUCUUGAGUUCGGGAGAGGUGAGUGGAACUGCGAGUGUAGAGGUGAAAUUCGUAGAUAUUCGCAAGAACACCAGUGGCGAAGGCGGCUCACUGGCCCGAUACUGACGCUGAGGCACGAAAGCGUGGGGAGCAAACAGG